GACGAACCGUGCAAACGUUGUUCGGAAUCACUGGGCUUAAAGGGCGCGUAGGCGGCUUGCCAAGUCAGGGGUGAAAUCUUUCGGCUUAACCGGAAAAGUGCCUCUGAUACUGGCAGGCUAGAGGGAGGUAGGGGCAUGUGGAACUUCCGGUGGAGCGGUGAAAUGCGUUGAUAUCGGAAGGAACGCCGGUGGCGAAAGCGACGUGCUGGACCUCUUCUGACGCUGAGGCGCGAAAGCGUGGGGAGCAAACGGG
This 253-nucleotide ribosomal RNA is filed under the name uncultured bacterium. RNAcentral describes it as "partial 16S ribosomal RNA". It matches the Rfam family "Bacterial small subunit ribosomal RNA", at positions 524 to 776 of the family's 1533-position model. The record is from RNAcentral.